Molecule: ribosomal RNA, 260 nt
Filed under: uncultured Anaerophaga sp.
Lineage: Bacteria; Pseudomonadati; Bacteroidota; Bacteroidia; Marinilabiliales; Marinilabiliaceae
Description: partial 16S ribosomal RNA
Rfam family: Bacterial small subunit ribosomal RNA
Source: RNAcentral
CCGGCGCACUGGUGAGUAACACGUAUGCAACCUGCCCUCUACAGGGGGAUAAUCCGGAGAAAUUCGGUCUAAUAUCCCAUAGUCCCUGAGCUUGCAUGAGCUUGGGGGGAAAGCUCCGGCGGUAGAGGAUGGGCAUGCGGCGCAUUAGCUGGUUGGCGGGGUAACGGCCCACCAAGGCGACGAUGCGUAGGGGUUCUGAGAGGAAGGUCCCCCACACUGGUACUGAGACACGGACCAGACUCCUACGGGAGGCAGCAGAG